AUUGAACGCUGGCGGCAGGCCUACCACAUGCAAGUCGAACGGUAACAGGAAGCAGCUUGCUGCUUUGCUGACGAGUGGCGGACGGGUGAGUAAUGUCUGGGAAACUGCCUGAUGGAGGGGGAUAACUACUGGAAACGGUAGCUAAUACCGCAUAACGUCGCAAGACCAAAGAGGGGGACCUUCGGGCCUCUUGCCAUCGGAUGUGCCCAGAUGGGAUUAGCUAGUAGGUGGGGUAAAGGCUCACCUAGGCGACGAUCCCUAGCUGGUCUGAGAGGAUGACCAGCCACACUGGAACUGAGACACGGUCCAGACUCCUACGGGAGGCAGCAGUGGGGAAUAUUGCACAAUGGGCGCAAGCCUGAUGCAGCCAUGCCGCGUGUAUGAAGAAGGCCUUCGGGUUGUAAAGUACUUU
RNAcentral lists this ribosomal RNA (412 nucleotides) under uncultured Escherichia sp. Its description in RNAcentral is "bacterial SSU rRNA". It matches the Rfam family "Bacterial small subunit ribosomal RNA", at positions 30 to 436 of the family's 1533-position model. The record is from RNAcentral. Lineage: Bacteria; Pseudomonadati; Pseudomonadota; Gammaproteobacteria; Enterobacterales; Enterobacteriaceae.